RNAcentral lists this ribosomal RNA (253 nucleotides) under uncultured bacterium. Its description in RNAcentral is "partial 16S ribosomal RNA". It matches the Rfam family "Bacterial small subunit ribosomal RNA", at positions 524 to 776 of the family's 1533-position model. The record is from RNAcentral.
UACAGAGGUCCCAAGCGUUGUUCGGAUUCACUGGGCGUAAAGCGUGCGUAGGCGGUUGGCUAAGUCAGAUGUGAAAGCCCUGGGCUCAACCUGGGAAUGGCAUUUGAAACUGGCCGGCUAGAGUGUGAUAGAGGAUGGCGGAAUUCCCGGUGUAGCGGUGAAAUGCGUAGAGAUCGGGAGGAACAUCCGUGGCGAAGGCGGCCAUCUGGAUCAACACUGACGCUGAGGCACGAAAGCGUGGGGAGCAAACAGG